This 82-nucleotide transfer RNA is filed under the name Dermacentor andersoni. RNAcentral's name for it is "transfer RNA serine (anticodon GCU)". It matches the Rfam family "tRNA". Rfam says of the family: Transfer RNA (tRNA) molecules are approximately 80 nucleotides in length. Lineage: Eukaryota; Metazoa; Arthropoda; Arachnida; Ixodida; Ixodidae. The record is from RNAcentral.
GACGAGGUGGCCGAGUGGUUAAGGCGUUGGACUGCUAAUCCAAUGGGCUCUGCCUGCGUGGGUUCGAAUCCCAUCUUCGUCG